UAAAGCAAAAGAUAAUAAGUAAUGAUCUAGAAAUAAUCGAAAAUAUACAGGAUGUGUUAAUGAUCUUAGAAAAUAUCAUCUGAUCCGUAAAUUUGGUGCACUAAAUAAAAAGAAAUAAACGUCACACGUCACAGAUACUUAUUUCUAUAUUUUUAAAUUUUUAUCACACGAAAUUUGCAUAGAGAAUGCUUAGAAAACAAGUAUUACCUAUAAGACACAGCGAACUCAGUGUCACAAAUGCUCACUGGUCGAAUAUUCAACCGCUAACGUAUAGAUAUGGUUAAUUAAAUGGGUAAAAAAAAUAAAUGGCGCAUAAAAAUAAUAAUAGCAAAUAAACUGGGCGAUAAUACACCUGUGUAAUACAAUUCCACGCGACUGAUUAGUUGGUUAAAUUAAAGUGGUCGAUUUAGCGACCAUCAACCUAUAAAGGGUUAACACCAAAAACAUCUAAAUAAAGGAACCAUAGAUUUAAAAUAAUUUCUCUUUCUUCAAAAAUAAUUACGCACGCCGCUGCUGCUAGCAGAACCUCUUUCUCGCCAAAACGAUUCAAGAUUUACGAAAACUAUAAUGUGGACGACUCCCGGUUUUUUAGCAUGUGAUAUGUAGCUUGUUAAAUAUCAAUGUUAUAUAACAUGUUACUAAAUGUGGACCCUCCUUUAGCUACACUACUGAAUCCCCAAUCUCAGUUGAGAUACUCACUGAGUAAAUAUGUUGAAGCCUUUAAUGUCAAAUAAAAAAUUCACUAAAAUUUUUGUUUAUAAUUUGUUGUUAAUUUUAAUUCACGUGACCAUUUGCACUUAUUAGGAACCGAUACUCAUUUAAUGAACAAACUUUUGACCAUUUUGGUGACGUCAUGGAUCGUAGUCUUCGGCUUCUAUUGCCACAGAGGUCGCAGAUCAGAUAAUAUGCAUUCGUACAGUGCUGCCAUAGCCUCAUUAUUAUUUUCAUUAUCAGAAAGAAAGUACUGAAUUAGUUGUUUUAUACACGGUACACAACGCAAUACCAUUAUCUAAUGCAAUUUUUAGACAAUGUACAUGAAAAUUUGAAGUGUUGUAACUUUAACAUAGAACUGAAAAUAUAUUAUAUUAAAUUGGAUUUCCAAAUCUGGCAACCUCGUACCGCUUGUACCAGACCGGUUAUUCGACGCACACAGCUGCUGCUGUAGCAAGAACUACCCCACCUCCAGGGUUGCCAGAUUUCACGAUUUAUCGUGAAAUCUCGCGAUUUUGUAUCAAAUCUCAGGAUCUCACGAUUUUUUCCGUUUUGCCAAUUAAAAAAAUACUGUUUUCAGAAAUAUUAAAAUAUCCGUGUUAACUAAAAAGUCAAUCAGUCAUUUCAUAACAGAAUAUUCUAUUUUACAUCAUACUUCUUGUAAUUUAAGAUGUGCAAAUGACAUGUAACUCGUGACAUUUUCAGUAUUUUACAUUAUUUUUAAAGGCCUCGGUGAUUCCCCGAUAUGAGUGCUGCAUCACUGCGGGGAAUCACCGAAGUCUAUUCUCAUUAUUUAUUUAAAAUGUUUCUAUUCACUUUAGACUGUGCUUUAGAUUUUAAAAUCUUAUUUAUUUUCUUUUCAAUUUUAGGUGAUAUUUACCUUUUCAGUUAGGAUUGUUUAGACUGAAAGUUUUUUUUAUAUAGAAAUAAAGAAAAUAAAAUUUUCCAAAUUCAUAGACUCUUUUUUAUUAUUCUAAUAUUUAAACUUAUUUAACAGUUAAAAAUGAAAUAUACAUAAGUAUAUAAUGGCGGGUGAAUCUAAAUCUCUCUAAAUAACUGCACAUAUUUUCCUCUUUACUGUUUUUCAAAUAAGUCCAAAAUAACCAAGUUAUUUUAUUUUCAAAAUUUAAAAAAAUGUAUUUUUGCUUAAAUUUUGAGAACCACUAGAUAUUUUGUAGGUUUUCCUUCAUGUAAAGUUAAAACUAUUACCUAUGUUGUCAUAUUAUCAAGAUAUUAUGCUUCUCAACUAAAAUUUAAAAAAAAAAUCGAUUUUUUGUUCAAAAAAUUACAAAUUUUCAAUUUUUUUUUCACUAAAAAAAACUCAGACUUGUUUCUGUGGUCAAAAUAUACUACUCUAAAAAUAUUUGCACUUAUUUCAGACUCACCCUGUAAAAAUUUGGUAUACUUAUUUUAAAAUUAGCGCUUUUCUGACAUCUCACGAUUUCUCACAAUUUUUGACGUCCAAUCUCACGAAUUUCUCUCGAAUCAAUCUGGCAUCGCUGCCCACUGCCCACCACCAUCGCCACGAUUUUAUAGAAAGGUGCAUAUUUGCAUUUUUGUUUCGCUUAUUCUUCCACUGCAGGUUUGUUGAGUUGGUGCUUUGGUACGUUCUAAGCGCGCAUUAUUCUUUAUAGAGAGCCUCCAUAUUGUAUUUAAGCUAUGCUUCUUAGAAAGUCUUCUGUAAAUUCUACAAGUAGAUUGGUUUCGUUCUCAAGGAAAAGAAAACCAUGCAAAAUGUCCGAUGCAUUCGAAAGCCAGCAAAGUACAACUUGACUGCAAGAGUAUAGAUGGUAAAUGCAUGCUUUGGAAAAGGCUCUUUUGAUCAUCUGUUGAAAUUUGAAAAAAUUGGAAUUAUGGUGCAACCAGCUAAUUCAAAUCUUCAAGAAUAAGAAGAUAUUCUGAUUAAAUAAUCAGAUAUUGGACGAAAAACACUGAAUUUUGCUUUGAAAAGAAAGCAAUUUUCAUGAGGAUAUGAUAGUAAUAAUUGGUUAUGCCUUGCAAGAACAGGAUUUAAAUUUUAAAUUAUUGUUUCUUUUGUGUAGUUUUACUUUUUUAACAAAAUUAUUUUUUGUUUAAAUUUAGCUUAGUACAGACAAUUUUGACUAAUUAUACUGAAGCUCACAUAAAUGAUAUUGAUCAAUCUAUUAUAACUUUAAAAUCGCGGGGUAUACAGUACGUCUGUCCGUUCUGUAGCUACGGGGUAUCCGUGAGAGGGGAAACGAUAUUCUCUCGACGUUUUUCGUAAAAAAUUAGACGACGCGGCCCAUCAAUCAAAAUUCGACAAAUUUGCAAGUAGCCAAUAAAAUGAGUGGGCGGAGCGAUUUGCGGUGACGUACUCCUCAAGUCGACGUAUAAAAUAUAUUGCUGUUUAUUUAAAUGUUUUUUGUCCGCAUUCCUUUCAUAGACACAGAUCCAGCAGACGUACUGUAUAUCUGAAAUAUAUAUUUUUUAUGGUUAGUGUUUGACAUCAGCGUAUUUACUUUUUUUCUUAUAUGAAUAACUAUCUUUAAAUAUACCGGUUGUUUUUCAAAUGUGGCUCAACCCAUAUGUUUAUUUU
RNAcentral lists this long non-coding RNA (3268 nucleotides) under Sitophilus oryzae (rice weevil). RNAcentral's name for it is "uncharacterized LOC115888784". Lineage: Eukaryota; Metazoa; Arthropoda; Insecta; Coleoptera; Curculionidae. The record is from RNAcentral.